GAUGAACGCUGGCGGUAUGCUUAACACAUGCAAGUCGAACGGACUCUUCGGAGUUAGUGGCGGACGGGUGAGUAACGCGUGAGAAUCUGGCUUUGGGUUCGGGACAACCACUGGAAACGGUGGCUAAUACCGGAUGUGCCGAGAGGUAAAAGAGAAAUUGCCUGAAGAUGAGCUCGCGUCUGAUUAGCUAGUUGGUGAGGUAAAGGCUCACCAAGGCAGCGAUCAGUAGCUGGUCUGAGAGGAUGACCAGCCACACUGGGACUGAGACACGGCCCAGACUACUCCGGGGGGAAGCAGUGGGGAAUUAUCCGCAAUGGGCGAAAGACUGACGGAGCAAUACCGCGUGAGGGAAGAAGGCUCUUGGGUUGUAAACCUCUUUUCUUAGGGAAGAACAAAAUGACGGUACCUAAGGAAUCAGCAUCGGCUAACUCCGUG
RNAcentral lists this ribosomal RNA (435 nucleotides) under uncultured bacterium. RNAcentral describes it as "partial 16S ribosomal RNA". It matches the Rfam family "Bacterial small subunit ribosomal RNA", at positions 28 to 507 of the family's 1533-position model. The record is from RNAcentral.